RNAcentral lists this unclassified non-coding RNA (363 nucleotides) under uncultured bacterium. Its description in RNAcentral is "contains 16S-23S intergenic spacer region". The record is from RNAcentral.
UCCCCGUUGCCGGGGCAGUCUAAUUAGAAAAAUACAACUAAUUACAAGGGUUGCGCUCGUUGAUGGACUUAACCAAACAUCUCACGACACGAGCUGACGACGGCCAUGCAUCACCUGUCACUUCGUUCAAUAAAGCACUCAUUGCUUUCACAAUAAUUCGAAGGAUGUCAAACCCUGGUAAGGUUCGUCGGUUAUCAUCGAAUUAAAGAACAUAAUCCACCGCUUGUGCGGCUCCCCGUCAAUUCCUUUAUGUUUUAGUCUUGCGACCGUACUCCACAGGCGGGAUACUUAACGCGUUAGCUUCGCUACUGGGGGGGUCGAUACCCCCAACAGCUAGUAUCCAUCGUUUACGGCGUGGACUAC